This 274-nucleotide ribosomal RNA is filed under the name uncultured bacterium. Its description in RNAcentral is "partial 16S ribosomal RNA". It matches the Rfam family "Bacterial small subunit ribosomal RNA", at positions 523 to 796 of the family's 1533-position model. The record is from RNAcentral.
AUACGGAGGGUGCAAGCGUUACUCGGAAUCACUGGGCGUAAAGGACGCGUAGGCGGGAUAGUAAGUCUGAUGUGAAAUCCUAUGGCUCAACCAUAGAACUGCAUUGGAAACUACUGACCUAGAGUAUGGGAGGGGGAGAUGGAAUUAGUAGUGUAGGGGUAAAAUCCGUAGAUAUUACUAGGAAUACCGAAAGCGAAGGCGAUCUCCUGGAACAAUACUGACGCUAAGGCGUGAAAGCGUGGGGAGCAAACAGGAUUAGAUACCCUAGUAGUCC